Molecule: ribosomal RNA, 1493 nt
Filed under: uncultured bacterium
Lineage: Bacteria
Description: bacterial SSU rRNA
Rfam family: Bacterial small subunit ribosomal RNA
Source: RNAcentral
AGAGUUUGAUCCUGGCUCAGAUUGAACGCUGGCGGCAGGCUUAACACAUGCAAGUCGAACGAUGAUUUUCCAGCUUGCUGGAAAUGAUUAGUGGCGGACGGGUGAGUAACAUUUAGGAAUCUGCCUGGUAGUGGGGGAUAGCUCGGGGAAACUCGAAUUAAUACCGCAUACGACCUACGGGUGAAAGGGUGCUUAGGCACUCGCUAUCAGAUGAGCCUAAAUCAGAUUAGCUAGUUGGUGGGGUAAAGGCCUACCAAGGCGACGAUCUGUAACUGGUCUGAGAGGAUGAUCAGUCACACCGGAACUGAGACACGGUCCGGACUCCUACGGGAGGCAGCAGUGGGGAAUAUUGGACAAUGGGGGGAACCCUGAUCCAGCCAUGCCGCGUGUGUGAAGAAGGCCUUUUGGUUGUAAAGCACUUUAAGCAGGGAGGAAGAGCGAAUGGUUAAUAGCCAAUCGUGGUGACGUUACCUGCAGAAUAAGCACCGGCUAACUCUGUGCCAGCAGCCGCGGUAAUACAGAGGGUGCGAGCGUUAAUCGGAAUUACUGGGCGUAAAGCGAGUGCAGGUGGCCUAUUAAGUCACAUGUGAAAUCCCCGGGCUUAACCUGGGAACUGCAUGUGAUACUGGUAGAGCUAGAAUAUGUGAGAGGGGGGUAGAAUUCCAGGUGUAGCGGUGAAAUGCGUAGAGAUCUGGAGGAAUACCGAUGGCGAAGGCAGCCCCCUGGCAUAAUAUUGACACUCAGACUCGAAAGCGUGGGUAGCAAACAGGAUUAGAUACCCUGGUAGUCCACGCCGUAAACGAUGUCUACUAGCCGUUGGGGCCCUUGAGGCUUUAGUGGCGCAGUUAACGCGAUAAGUAGACCGCCUGGGGAGUACGGCCGCAAGGUUAAAACUCAAAUGAAUUGACGGGGGCCCGCACAAGCGGUGGAGCAUGUGGUUUAAUUCGAUGCAACGCGAAGAACCUUACCUGGUCUUGACAUAGUGAGAAUCCUGCAGAGAUGCGGGAGUGCCUUCGGGAAUUCACAUACAGGUGCUGCAUGGCUGUCGUCAGCUCGUGUCGUGAGAUGUUGGGUUAAGUCCCGCAACGAGCGCAACCCUUUUCCUUACUUGCUAGCAGGUUAAGCUGAGAACUUUAAGGAUACUGCCAGUGACAAACUGGAGGAAGGCGGGGACGACGUCAAGUCAUCAUGGCCCUUACGACCAGGGCUACACACGUGCUACAAUGGUAGGUACAGAGGGCUGCUACACAGCGAUGUGAUGCUAAUCUCAAAAAGCCUAUCGUAGUCCGGAUUGGAGUCUGCAACUCGACUCCAUGAAGUCGGAAUCGCUAGUAAUCGCGGAUCAGAAUGUCGCGGUGAAUACGUUCCCGGGCCUUGUACACACCGCCCGUCACACCAUGGGAGUCUAUUGCACCAGAAGUAGGUAGCCUAACGAAAGAGGGCGCUUACCACGGUGUGGUCGAUGACUGGGGUGAAGUCGUAACAAGGUAACC